AUAGACCCCCGGCAUCAUUCCCUCCAAGAACUUCCCACCUUGCUCUUGGGGAGACUCGAACUCACAACUUCUCGGUUGGAAUUGGAGGUUACUUACCAUCAGCGCAACCUCUCUUGUCAUUCAUGAUAAGGAAAGGAUGAGAGAAGAAAAUAGUGAAGCGACAUUGGUGCGAAAAAAACCUAUAGUUGUCCUAGAGUUUUUGAUAAAGGUUUCAUUUAAAUCGACGUACAAUAAUUACUGUCUUAUAAUUCAAUCGAAAGAUCGAAGAGAAUACAGCCCCUAAAGUCCUCUCGUUCUUCUAUAAACCGAAAGGCCAAAUAGAAUGCAAUCUGUAAACCCCGAUUUUCU
RNAcentral lists this long non-coding RNA (348 nucleotides) under Nicotiana benthamiana. Its description in RNAcentral is "long non-coding RNA (NBEN_LNC012318)". Lineage: Eukaryota; Viridiplantae; Streptophyta; Magnoliopsida; Solanales; Solanaceae. The record is from RNAcentral.